Molecule: ribosomal RNA, 606 nt
Filed under: Desulfobulbaceae bacterium PR6_G11
Lineage: Bacteria; Pseudomonadati; Thermodesulfobacteriota; Desulfobulbia; Desulfobulbales; Desulfobulbaceae
Description: bacterial SSU rRNA
Rfam family: Bacterial small subunit ribosomal RNA
Source: RNAcentral
AUACCGGAUACGCUGAGAAAUCAGGAAAGGUGGCCUCUUCAUGAAAGCUACUGUAUCAGGAGGAGCUUGCGUACCAUUAGCUAGUUGGUGGGGUAAUGGCCUACCAAGGCAACGAUGGUUAGCGGGUCUGAGAGGAUGAUCCGCCACACUGGAACUGGAACACGGACCAGACUCCUACGGGAGGCAGCAGUGAGGAAUAUUGCGCAAUGGGGGCAACCCUGACGCAGCGACGCCGCGUGGAUGAUGAAGGCCUUCGGGUCGUAAAAUCCUGUCAGAUGGAAAGAAAUGUCAUAUGCCUAAUAUGUGUAUGAUUUGACGGUACCAUCAAAGGAAGCACCGGCUAACUCCGUGCCAGCAGCCGCGGUAAUACGGAGGGUGCAAGCGUUGUUCGGAAUUACUGGGCGUAAAGCGCGCGUAGGCGGCUUUUUAAGUCAGAUGUGAAAGUCCACGGCUCAACCGUGGAAGUGCAUUUGAUACUGGGAAGCUUGAGUACUGGAGGGGAUGGUGGAAUUCCCGGUGUAGAGGUGAAAUUCGUAGAUAUCGGGAGGAAUACCGGUGGCGAAGGCGACCAUCUGGCCAGAUACUGACGCUGAGGUGCGAAAGCGU